AACUCAUCUUCGGGGGUAGAGCACUGUUUCGGCUAGGGGGCCAUCCCGGCUUACCAACCCGAUGCAAACUACGAAUACCGAAGAAUGUUAUCACGGGAGACACACGGCGGGUGCUAACGUCCGUCGUGAAGAGGGAAACAACCCAGACCGCCAGCUAAGGUCCCAAAGUCAUGGUUAAGUGGGAAACGAUGUGGGAAGGCACAGACAGCCAGGAUGUUGGCUUAGAAGCAGCCAUCAUUUAAAGAAAGCGUAAUAGCUCACUGGUCGAGUCGGCCUGCGCGGAAGAUGUAACGGGGCUAAACCAUGCACCGAAGCUGCGGCAGCGACACUAUGUGUUGUUGGGUAGGGGAGCGUUCUGUAAGCCUGUGAAGGUGUGCUGUGAGGCAUGCUGGAGGUAUCAGAAGUGCGAAUGCUGACAUAAGUAACGAUAAAGCGGGUGAAAAGCCCGCUCGCCGGAAGACCAAGGGUUCCUGUCCAACGUUAAUCGGGGCAGGGUGAGUCGACCCCUAAGGCGAGGCCGAAAGGCGUAGUCGAUGGGAAACAGGUUAAUAUUCCUGUACUUGGUGUUACUGCGAAGGGGGGACGGAGAAGGCUAUGUUGGCCGGGCGACGGUUGUCCCGGUUUAAGCGUGUAGGUGUGUGUUCCAGGUAAAUCCGGUUCACUUUAACACUGAGGCGUGAUGACGAGGCACUACGGUGCUGAAGUAACAAAUGCCCUGCUUCCAGGAAAA
RNAcentral lists this ribosomal RNA (730 nucleotides) under Cronobacter dublinensis. RNAcentral's name for it is "partial 23S ribosomal RNA". It matches the Rfam family "Bacterial large subunit ribosomal RNA", at positions 887 to 1616 of the family's 2925-position model. Lineage: Bacteria; Pseudomonadati; Pseudomonadota; Gammaproteobacteria; Enterobacterales; Enterobacteriaceae. The record is from RNAcentral.